CAGGAUGAACGCUGGCGGCGUGCCUAAUACAUGCAAGUCGAGCGAACAGACAAGGAGCUUGCUCCUUUGACGUUAGCGGCGGACGGGUGAGUAACACGUGGGUAACCUACCUAUAAGACUGGGAUAACUUCGGGAAACCGGAGCUAAUACCGGAUAAUAUUUCGAACCGCAUGGUUCGAUAGUGAAAGAUGGUUUUGCUAUCACUUAUAGAUGGACCCGCGCCGUAUUAGCUAGUUGGUAAGGUAACGGCUUACCAAGGCGACGAUACGUAGCCGACCUGAGAGGGUGAUCGGCCACACUGGAACUGAGACACGGUCCAGACUCCUACGGGAGGCAGCAGUAGGGAAUCUUCCGCAAUGGGCGAAAGCCUGACGGAGCAACGCCGCGUGAGUGAUGAAGGUCUUCGGAUCGUAAAACUCUGUUAUUAGGGAAGAACAUACGUGUAAGUAACUAUGCACGUCUUGACGGUACCUAAUCAGAAAGCCACGGCUAACUACGUGCCAGCAGCCGCGGUAAUACGUAGGUGGCAAGCGUUAUCCGGAAUUAUUGGGCGUAAAGCGCGCGUAGGCGGUUUUUUAAGUCUGAUGUGAAAGCCCACGGCUCAACCGUGGAGGGUCAUUGGAAACUGGAAAACUUGAGUGCAGAAGAGGAAAGUGGAAUUCCAUGUGUAGCGGUGAAAUGCGCAGAGAUAUGGAGGAACACCAGUGGCGAAGGCGACUUUCUGGUCUGUAACUGACGCUGAUGUGCGAAAGCGUGGGGAUCAAACAGGAUUAGAUACCCUGGUAGUCCACGCCGUAAACGAUGAGUGCUAAGUGUUAGGGGGUUUCCGCCCCUUAGUGCUGCAGCUAACGCAUUAAGCACUCCGCCUGGGGAGUACGACCGCAAGGUUGAAACUCAAAGGAAUUGACGGGGACCCGCACAAGCGGUGG
Molecule: ribosomal RNA, 929 nt
Filed under: Staphylococcus haemolyticus
Lineage: Bacteria; Bacillati; Bacillota; Bacilli; Caryophanales; Staphylococcaceae
Description: bacterial SSU rRNA
Rfam family: Bacterial small subunit ribosomal RNA
Source: RNAcentral